UACAGAGGCGGCAAGCGUUGUUCGGAAUUAUUGGGCGUAAAGAGCACGUAGGCGGCUGUGUAAGUCGGUUGUGAAAGCCUUCCGCUCAACGGAAGAACGGCAUCCGAUACUGCAUGGCUUGAGUGUGGGAGGGGAGAGUGGAACUUCUGGUGGAGCGGUGAAAUGCGUAGAUAUCUGGAGGAACACCGGUGGCGAAGGCGGCAUCCUGGACCGACAUUGACGCUGAGGCGCGAAAGCUAGGGUAGCAAAC
RNAcentral lists this ribosomal RNA (250 nucleotides) under uncultured bacterium. RNAcentral's name for it is "partial 16S ribosomal RNA". It matches the Rfam family "Bacterial small subunit ribosomal RNA", at positions 524 to 773 of the family's 1533-position model. The record is from RNAcentral.